UCCUCCCUCUGGCGGCGUGCUUAACACAUGCAAGUCGAACGGAAAGGCCUGCUUUCCCUUGUGGAUUGCGGGUACUCGAGUGGCGAACGGGGGAGUAACACGUGAGUGAUCUGCCCCCAACUUGGGUAUAAGCCUGGGAAACUGGGUCUAAUUCCCGAUAGGACUGCAGGGUGGUGCCUGUGGUGGAAAACGAUUUUCUAGUGGUUGGGGAUGAGCUCGCGGCCUAUCAGCUUGUUGGUGGGGUAAUGGCCUACCAAGGCGGCGACGGGUAGCCGGCCUGGGAGGGUGGACGGCCACAUUGGGACUGAGAUACGGCCCAGACUCCUACGGGAGGCAGCAGUGGGGAAUAUUGCACAAUGGGCGGAAGCCUGAUGCAGCGACGCCGCGGGGGGGAUGACGGCCUUCGGGUUGUAAACUCCUUUCGACCGCGAGGAAGCCACCUGGUUGGAAGGGUGGUGACGGUAGUGGUAGAAGAAGCACCGGCUAACUACGUG
Molecule: ribosomal RNA, 494 nt
Filed under: uncultured bacterium
Lineage: Bacteria
Description: partial 16S ribosomal RNA
Rfam family: Bacterial small subunit ribosomal RNA
Source: RNAcentral